AUGAACACGUGUCCCAUCGUUUGCGACUCUGAUCUCUUCUUCCCCGACUUCGCUCUUCUUCAAUUUCUCCCGAUUCGCAGCGAGAGAGAGAGAUGGUGCCGCCGGCAACGGAGCGGUGGUGCUGGGCAUUGAUUAGGGUUCAUCUUUUCCCAUCUUUUUUUCCAAUUCAGAUUUUGAUUUUAAUCUCAAGAUGCAAACGCAUCAGAUAUAAAGAGAUCAUGCGAUUAUUGAUUCUUCUUUCUUAGUCAAAAUCGCCAUUGCUUACGAGAUAUUGAAAGGACUGGUGUUCGAUCACGCUGCUCAGUUCUUCAUUGCAGAUGAUUCUCGUCUUAUCCAGUACGUCGAUGGAUGGUUAGAGAAAGGACUUGUUCGAGAGUGGAAAGGUGUUGUGGGAGAGCUUGAAGUUGGAGGCAAUUUCUCGCAGUUUCCUCCUUCAUGGCCUCCAAGAUACAUUGCUGUUCACGGCAUGCGAUCUCUCGCUGAUUCAUUGCUAUUAGAGAGUCGAUUGUCAUUGCUCACAAUGGUAAGAACGGAACAUCUCGUGGUCAGUUUGAUGUCAUUAUCAUUGCUCACAAUGGUAAAUGUGCGAACCGUUUGCUGUCUGCAUCAGGCUUGCCCCUCGUUGCUAAACAGAUGAAGAAUUUUGAUCUUAGCUCCAUAUGGGCGCUACUAGCAGCGUUCGAUGAUCCUCUUCCUACAGUGAACUUCGAAGGAGCGUUUGUGAAAGGAGUUGAAUCAUUGUCUUGGAUGGGAAACAACUCCGCAAAGCUUGGUAACUCUAGAACACCACAAACUAUUUCUGAGUUCUUUUGCUUCUGUAAUACUAGUAUCUACGUUGCAAUAUAUUUUGUUAUUUGUUUUUCGGCUGGCUUGUAACAUGCAAGGCUUUAGUAGUUUGGGAUGAACAAAGCAAAGAAUAUACUAGUUGUUCCUGGAAGUUCAUUGGCAUUGCAAUUUUUUUGUUUAUCUCAUCAAAAGCUUCUUUGGAGCAACUCAGACUUGUCAUAAACCUUCCAAGUUCCACCAUGAUUUGGUUUCAUCUCUAUACUAGUCAUUUGGUUGAUGUUUGAGUUGUCAUAAGCAAAGACUCUAGCUUUUUGGCAUUUUUUUUUUUU
This is a long non-coding RNA of Brassica oleracea var. oleracea, 1115 nucleotides long. RefSeq lists it as uncharacterized. The transcript has 5 exons. Lineage: Eukaryota; Viridiplantae; Streptophyta; Magnoliopsida; Brassicales; Brassicaceae. The record is from RefSeq and is a predicted model, not a curated record.